This 74-nucleotide transfer RNA is filed under the name Ixodes scapularis (black-legged tick). It matches the Rfam family "tRNA". Rfam says of the family: Transfer RNA (tRNA) molecules are approximately 80 nucleotides in length. Their secondary structure includes four short double-helical elements and three loops (D, anti-codon, and T loops). Further hydrogen bonds mediate the characteristic L-shaped molecular structure. tRNAs have two regions of fundamental functional importance: the anti-codon, which is responsible for specific mRNA codon recognition, and the 3' end, to which the tRNAs corresponding amino acid is attached (by aminoacyl-tRNA synthetases). tRNAs cope with the degeneracy of the genetic code in two manners: having more than one tRNA (with a specific anti-codon) for a particular amino acid; and 'wobble' base-pairing, i.e. permitting non-standard base-pairing at the 3rd anti-codon position. Lineage: Eukaryota; Metazoa; Arthropoda; Arachnida; Ixodida; Ixodidae. The record is from Rfam by way of RNAcentral.
GCCGGGAUGGUCUUAUCGGUUAAGGCAUCGCCCCGAUAAGGCGAAGGCUGCGGGUUCAGUUCCCGCUCCUGGCC